This 849-nucleotide ribosomal RNA is filed under the name uncultured bacterium. RNAcentral's name for it is "bacterial SSU rRNA". It matches the Rfam family "Bacterial small subunit ribosomal RNA", at positions 53 to 917 of the family's 1533-position model. The record is from RNAcentral.
ACAUGCAAGUCGAGCGGAAAGGCCCUUCGGGGUACUCGAGCGGCCAACGGGUGAGUAACACGUGAGCAACCUGCCCCAGGCUUUGGGAUAACCCCGGGAGACCGGGGCUAAUACCGAAUAUGACCUCUGACCGCAUGGUUGGUGGUGGAAAAUUUUUCGGCUUGGGAUGGGCUCGCGGCCUAUCAGCUUGUUGGUGGGGUGAUGGCCUACCAAGGCGACGACGGGUAGCCGGCCUGAGAGGGCGACCGGCCACACUGGGACUGAGACACGGCCCAGACUCCUACGGGAGGCAGCAGUGGGGAAUAUUGCACAAUGGGCGGAAGCCUGAUGCAGCGACGCCGCGUGAGGGAUGACGGCCUUCGGGUUGUAAACCUCUUUCAGCAGGGACGAAGCGUAAGUGACGGUACCUGCAGAAGAAGCGCCGGCCAACUACGUGCCAGCAGCCGCGGUGAGACGUAGGGCGCGAGCGUUGUCCGGAUUUAUUGGGCGUAAAGAGCUCGUAGGCGGCUUGUCGCGUCGACCGUGAAAACUUGGGGCUCAACCCCAAGCCUGCGGUCGAUACGGGCAGGCUAGAGUUCGGUAGGGGAGACUGGAACUCCUGGUGUAGCGGUGAAAUGCGCAGAUAUCAGGAGGAACACCGGUGGCGAGGGCGGGUCUCUGGGCCGAUACUGACGCUGAGGAGCGAAAGCGUGGGGAGCGAGCAGGAUUAGAUACCCUGGUAGUCCACGCUGUAAACGUUGGCCGCUAGGUGUGGGGGGCCUCUCCGGUUCCCUGUGCCGCAGCUAACGCAUUAAGCGCCCCGCCUGGGGAGUACGGCCCCCAAGGUUAAAACUCAAAUGAAUUGACGGG